Molecule: long non-coding RNA, 349 nt
Filed under: Elaeis guineensis (African oil palm)
Lineage: Eukaryota; Viridiplantae; Streptophyta; Magnoliopsida; Arecales; Arecaceae
Description: long non-coding RNA (EGUI_LNC000333)
Source: RNAcentral
UCUGAUAGAUAUCCUCUUUUUCUCUCUCUUUCUUUUUUUAUUUCAUUUUUUUUCUUUCUUUUCUUUCUUUUCUUUCUUUUUUAAUCUUCCUUUCUUUUCUUUUCUUUUUGUUUCACUUUCUCAUCUCUUCCUCUCUUUUCUUCCUUUUUCUUAUUCUUUCUCUUUUUUUCUUCCUAUUUUUCUUUAUUUUUUUUCUUCUUCUUUCCUUUCACUUUUUUCCUUUCUUUCUUCUCUCUUUUUUCUUCUCUCCCUACAUGGAUAGAUUUCGGAGUCCUGACUUUAUCCCAGUCUCAUUUUCUUACAAGAACAGGAUGCGACGACUGGGACGGCCUCUAUCCUGUCGGGAUGU